GGACUAUGUGUGUGUGUUUUCAGUACCCACACCCCCGAACCGAAGGGAUGUGCACUUCUCGACUGUCUGUACCUGGCCAGUGCAGAAACCAGCCGACUGAAGGGUAAUGUAUUUUCAGAUGAAUGCAGGCCCCUUUUAAGAAGUCAUGCAGCAGUUCUCCUGUCUAUACCUCUGAAAUCAUUGCUUUUUUCACUCCAGAUAAAAAAAAGGUGCCAAGUCUGAAUCCAAACCUGGAUUUCGCUGAAGUUUAGAGGUGCUCAGCUGUGGUUGGGUUCAAGACUAUAUCCAGUAUGUUUAUUGGAUUUUCCAUAAUAAAAGGACAGGCAGCAAGAGCUAUGUAAUGUCUUUAGUCAUUGCAGAGAGCACAAGGCUUCUAGAAUUCCUAGAGUUGACCAAACUCUUUGGCCCUGACUGGCAUCUUUUGAAAUGGAUUAUCCAAUUCAUCUCCAAAGAAAGAUGGAGAGAGGAAGAAGAAAAGAGAGCCUUUCAGGUACAACAAUGAAGAAGCCAGACUGUGCUGAUGGCUCAUCAACAAAUACAGUGGACCGUGGAAGAGCUUAGCCUUCCUGUGAACAUUUCAGCCAGCCUAUAAGUAAUGGCUGCUAUGACUCAGCUGAUCAUGUGACCAGACCAUGACACUGAACUCCAUUUUGGUGCCUGUAUUUUUCCACAAACUAGACUGGGAACUGAGUUUGGAACAAAAGGUUCCAACCAUAUGGAAAAGCUAUAAAAGAUGGGUUGUGAUAUCAUCUCUUGGCCUCACUCCCCACAUAAGAGACUCCUGGAAACACCUGAGGAACAAAGACUGAACUGGGGGAAGUGCUGGUCCCAGGCUAAAGGGAUUUCUAGCCUGUGUAUGGAAACUUGGUGGACUGCUUGUAUCAUCAGUCAGGGUGAGAAAUUGCUAAUUCAAAUCCUAUCCAUCUAGUUUCUAGUAUGUUAGACUUAGUUUGCAUUUUUGUUUAUUUGCUAGGUAAUCUGCUUUGAUCUGUCUGCUAUCAUGUAUAAUCACUUAAAAUCUAUCUUUCUGUAGUUAAUAAACUUGUUUUAUAUUUUUUAUCUAAAACAGUGUGCCUUUAAGUGAAGAGUCUGGGGAAAAUCUCAGCUCAGUUAACAAGGCCAGUGUGCAUUGUUCACUCCACAUUGAGGGAGGGGAAAACUGAGUAAUAAAUUCAUACUGGUUGGCCUUUUGACCAGGGCAGGGUGGUACGCUUCUGGGGUUCUAGGCUGGAAAGCUGGGAGUAUCUUGGCUGUAACCUCUCUAUUGUUGGUGCAUGCCGUGGCUGAUCAGAGCCUGCAUGUAACUGCAGCUGGGUGUGUCCCUGCCUGUGUGAAUGCUGGUGGGAUUGUAGGACUGGGAGCAAUCUUCAGCUUGUCACCCAGAACAGUGUGAGAGGGAGCCCAGGCUAGUGAGUCAGAGGGCUCAGUGGUACCCCAGCUACAGGUGGUUCCCAGGGGGAACCUGUCACAGAUAGAUCCUACAUUCAUGCUCCCCUUACAAGUCCCCAUUGUAGCAAUCUUCAUGGAAUUUGGAGGGAGGAGCACAGGUUGCUGGAGGGAAGAGGUUGGAGGAGGCACAGGAAGUCAGUCUGUUUGUCCAUGGCUAGAAUGCCUGCUACCGUUGUAGCACCUCUUUAAGUAGCUUUCUUAAAUAGCCAGUUUAGUUUUAGAAACAUGGAGAUUUCUUAUAUCACUACCCAGCAUGUGUUACAUGAAACACACAAACUUCCCUGAGAAGAGUGAACAUUCCCAAGCUAUAGUCCCACUGUGAUGGACCUGUUCAAAGCUGCUGGGCUGUGACUCCCCUAUGGCAAACAACAGGAGGUUUCCCAGAAAGAGAAGGUGCUGCAAAAGGCAAACUGGGGUGAAAAGGUGCUAGCAAUAGGUUAGUUUCAUCAGGGUUCCUCACAUCUGAAAUUCACUCCCCAAAAUUUUGUUAAUCUACAAGGUGACCAGCUACACCUAGGGUUAUAAUUGUUUUAACUUGCAUUGUCUUUGUUGGAGAGUGCAUUACAUUUAAAACAAACAAAUACAAUUAAAAAAUCCUGAAAGAUAUACAAAGUUGGGCAUCUUUCUAUGGAGCGUGGAACAUUUUUCCUAAUUUUUCUUUUACUAAAAGGUCUGGUUGCUACUGCAUAUGGUGCAGGUUGAAGUCUAGGGGCUUCCACAGCAGCCCACCCACUCACUCAUGUGUUGUAAAUUGCAAGAUUGGAGCAUAGGUUAUUAAAAAUGGCUUUUGAUGCUAAAAUGGAGAAGGCCAUACCUCAGUUUUUCUGUAU
Long non-coding RNA from Dermochelys coriacea (leatherback sea turtle), 2279 nucleotides. RefSeq lists it as uncharacterized. The transcript is spliced from 5 exons. Lineage: Eukaryota; Metazoa; Chordata; Testudines; Dermochelyidae. The record is from RefSeq and is a predicted model, not a curated record.